This 7052-nucleotide long non-coding RNA is filed under the name Salmo salar (Atlantic salmon). Its description in RNAcentral is "lncRNA (ENSSSAG00000094700.1, ENSSSAG00000102712.1)". The record is from RNAcentral. Lineage: Eukaryota; Metazoa; Chordata; Actinopteri; Salmoniformes; Salmonidae.
CUCCUAAGCAUGUGUUUACCAAAGGCCUUAUUUUGGUGGAGUUAGUGCCUACAAAAAGACGCCAUUACUAUUUCUCUCACUUGUGGUAUUACAGAAAACACGCACUUUGUGUGCCACAUAGAGAUGGAGGACACAUCUUUAUAACUAUGCAUUAUAGUGGCUGUGACAACAUGGGCAGCGCCAUUGAGGGUACAACCCAUAGGAAUUCCCACCCAGUUUCCUACUUUAAAAUGGUGGAUGAUGGCAAUGUCCAAUAGCAAUGGUCAUGCUAAAAUGGGUUAUAUCCAUGAUGAGUCCUCGAUGUAUCUUUAUGGUGUGACUUGUAACUAGUGGCGACCGCAUGCAGUAAAGUGGACAUUCGUGCCUAUGGAAAACUCGAGAUUGCCACGGCGAGAUAAAGUGGAUUAAUUUGCUAUUUAUUUGCAGCGUCAACAGGUGUCUCCAGGUGCGAUGUCCAAGCGUCAACAGGUGUCUCCAGGUGCGAUGUCCAAGAGUACAUCUUCAAAUAACUUUUGUAUCAUAUUGUUGAUACUGUUAACACAAAUUCCCUGCAUCUUACAAGGCCUUGACAUGCAUUUGGCUAUGCCAUCUUUUGAAGUAUCUUGCAGAAAUGAAAAAGAAGACAUCUGCAAUUCCAUCACAUCCUGUGGAUGGAAUGGUUUCCUGAAACAAGUGCAAAUUAUUUGCUCUAAAGUUGAGAACGGUGAGUUCCAAUGCAUGCAUGACGUAACGGAACCUUCGAAGCAAGAAUCAUAUGAAAAACUCAUGGAUAAUUUUUGCAAAAACAACCUCGAAUGUGGAUUCAGGGCCUCUGCUAUUAAUAACAGUGCUUUAAAAUGCACCAUAAAGAUUAAACAAGUGUCGACACAGCGCACAGUACAAUCAAAUGUGUCAGCAGUGAAAGUGGAUGAACCCAGAAAUGAAACAUCUGGAAACGACGCAAUUUCCAACUGGUCGUGGAUUUUCCCUUGCAUUUGCAUUGCCAUUAUUAUCAUUGGAUUUUUCAUUGGAUUUUACAUUGGAUUUUGUAUUGAUUGUACUUGUCUGGAGCGAAAAGGGUGGUGUCGCCGUGGUAAAAGGUACAUUGCAGUACCUGUAGAAGUGGGCCUAAUCUAAAGUCUUAUGUAACAUCCAGCACGCAGACAAGCCAACUGUAACUGAGUUUAACAGAGUCUAUUUGUUUUGUUUAUUUAUUUUGUAUUUUGGGUGCAUUAUUUUUGUCUGAGCUGGGGUUGAGUGAUUGGGAUGGUUGAGUCAACUUUCACUAACUCUGAUCAGGCCAUUAAUUGUUUUCUUUCCCUGUUUAACUCUGUUGCAGAUAAAACAUUUGCAUACAAAAAAGUAAGAGUAAAAGCCCGACGUUAUCAUUGGUAUAUUCAUGGGGUGGCGGGUAGCCUAGUGGUUAGAGCGUUGGACUAGUAAAUGAAAGGUUGCAAGAUCGAAUCCCCGAGCUGACAAGAUGAAAAUCUGUCGUUCUGCCCAUGAACAAGGCAGUUAACCCACUCUUCCUAGGCUGUCAUUGAAAAUAAGAAUUUGUUCUUAAAACCUCUAUGGGCUAGGUGGGACGCUUGCGUCCCAGCCACUUUAAGCCUGUGGCGCGAUUUUCAAAACCUUAAAAAUCCUAUUACUUCAAUUUCUCAAACAUAUGACUAUUUUACAGCUAUUUAAAGACAAGACUCUCGUUAAUCUAACCACACUGUCCGAUUUCAAAAAGGCUUUACAACGAAAGCAAAACAUUAGAUUAUGUCAGCAGAGUACCAAGCCAGAAAUAAUCAGACACCCAUUUUUCAAGCCAGCAUAUGUCACCAAAACCCAGAAGACAGCUAAAUGCAGCACUCACCUUUGAUGAUCUUCAUCAGAUGACAACCCUAGGACAUUAUGUUAUACAAUACAUGCAUGUUUUGUUCAAUCAAGUUCAUAUUUAUAUCAAAAACCAGCUUUUUACAUUAGCAUGUGACGUUCAGAACUAGCAUACCCCCCGCAAACUUCCGGGAAUUCGCUAACAUUUUACUAAAUUACUCACGAUAAACGUUCACAAAAAGCAUAACAAUUAUUUUAAGAAUUAUAGAUACAGACCUCCUCUAUGCACUCGAUAUGUCCGAUUUUAAAAUAGCUUUUGGUGAAAGCACAUUUUGCAAUAUUCUAAGUACAUAGCCCAGGCAUCACGGGCUCGCUAUUUAGACACCCGGCAAGUUUAGCACUCACCAUAAUCAUAUUUACUAUUAUAAAAGUUUGAUUACCUUUUGUUGUCUUCGUCAGAAUGCACUCCCAGGACUGCUACUUCAAUAACAAAUGUUGGUUUGGUCCAAAAUAAUCCAUCGUUAUAUCCGAAUAGCGGCGUUUUGUUCGUAUGCGUUCCAGACACUAUCCGAAAUGGUAAAGAAGUGUCGCGCGCAUGGCGCAAUUCGUGACAAUAAAAUUCUAAAUAUUCCAUUACCGUACUUCGAAGCAUGUCAACCGCUGUUUAAAAUCAAUUUUUACGCCAUUUUUCUCGUAGAAAAGCGAUAAUAUUCCGACAGGGAAUCUCCUUUUCGGCAAACAGAGGAAAAAAUCGCAAAGGCGGGGGCGGUCGGGUCACGCGCAUAAGCCCAGAGUCCCUUGAUCGGCCACUUGAGAAAGGCGAUAAUGUGUUUCAGCCUGGGGCUGGAAUGACGACAUUCUGUUUUUUCCCGGGCUCUGAGAGCCUAUGGAAGACGUGGGAAGUGUCACGUUAGAGCAGAGAUCCUUAGUAAAAGAUAGAGAUGGAAAAGAAGUUCAAGAAAUGGUCAGACAGGCCACUUCCUGUAAAGGAAUCUCUCAGGUUUUGACCUGCCAUUUGAGUUCUGUUAUACUCACAGACACCAUUCAAACAGUUUUAGAAACUUUAGGGUGUUUUCUAUCCAUAUGUAAUAAGUAUAUGCAUAUUCUAGUUACUGGGUAGGAGUGGUAACCAGAUUAAAUCGGGUAUGUUUUUUAUCCAGCCGUGUCAAUACUGCCCCCUAGCCCUAACAGGUUAUUAACUGACUUGCCUAGUAAAAAAAUGAAUUGUUUGAGAAAUACAGAAAUUGGCAGUCCUUCAGAUAUUUGACGAAUAGAUGUCUUUCCCUGGUUAAAAAAGCAAAAUCAACACAUUUCUUGAAUUGUGUAUCAGAGAGUGGUGGUAAUCCAGCCAAUUUCUGGAAAGUGGUCAAAUAUUUGAAACAAAACUCCACCCCCUCAUUGCCCCAGCAGGUUUUGACAGCCUCUGGUCCAAUUCUAGACCAAAUGGAAAUUAGUGAUGAUUUUAAUAAAAAUUUUGCUUCAGCUAGCUACCUGUUUGAAAGGAUAAUCUCUGAAAGUUCAUAUCAUACAACAGAGAGAGUCAUUUAGUCACCUCAGAAAAGAUUGGAGAAAAUGAUGCACUAACAGACUCAUUUUCAUUUCAACCCUUUGAUGUCGGUGAUGUACUAAGUGUUUGCUAAAGAUUGAUGUAAAAGCAGCCGGCCGCGACCGGGAGACCCAUGGGGCGGCGCACAAUUGGCCUAGCGUCGUCCAGGUUAGGGGAGGGUGUGGCCGGCAGGGAUAUCCUUGUCUCAUCGCGUACUAGUGACUCCUGUGGCGGGCCGGGCGCAGUGCACGCUGACAUGGUCGCUAGGUGUAUGGUGUUUCCUCUGACACAUUGGUGCGGCUGGCUUCCGGGUUGGAUGGGCAUUGUGUCAAGAAGCAGUGCGGCUUGGUUGGGUUGUGUUUCGGAGGACGCACGGCUCUCAACCUUCGCCUCUCCCGAGUCCGUACGGGAGUCGCAGUGAUGAGACAAGACUGUAACUUCUACCAAUUGGAUACCACGAAAUUGGGGAUAAAAAGGGGGUUAAAAAAGAAAGAUUGAUGUAAAAAAAAACCUAGGGGCUGAUUCACAUGAUCCUUUCUUACUGCAGCUCUCUGACCCACUUAUUGCAGAACCACUGACCUGUAUUUUUUACUUGACAAUUGCCCUCCCACUACAUAAAGGACUAGAUCCUUCUGAUUUAGUUUACUACCGUCCAAUUACCAAAUUAUUUUUAACGUCUCACUCUAUUCUUAAUACAUUUUAUUUAAUAAAUAAAAAAAAUAAUAAUGCAUUUAAUGAUGCUACCUAUACGAAGACAAUGGGCCAAUGAUUGAAUGGUAUACAGGAUUAGGGGAAGUAGUAACAGAAAGUAAUUGUGAGGAAAGCCCUAAUAGUAAUUGAUGACUCCUAAUGUGCUAGUAGUAAUGUAGCAUGUGUUAAACCAAUGGUGCAUGAACAUGGGCCCCCAAUCGAAGAGAGUUGGCAGCACUGCCAUCAUCACCCCACAACUAUAGAGUGUGAAUACUGCUGUCAGUAGAAUGUACAUUGGCUAGUCAGGAUUAAUGUAUGUCAGUCAUUAUUGCCCUAUAUGGGAAAAAACACAUGAUUUCAAAUCUGGAAAAUCACAUGAUUUCACAUGUGAAAUUUCCACGUUUCGCAAAUGCUGACCAGUAACUAAACUGUAUGGAUAAUAGAAAGAUCAGUCUACCAUUCUAGUGACAUGGACAAUAGAGACUCCUUUUCUCUCCUAUAAAUUGAGUAGCUAAUUAUGUCUUAAGAACAAAAUAUUAUAUAUAUAUAUUUUUUUUUCAAUGAUUGUGAUUUAAGUUAGUAGGAAGUCAAAAUACUAUAGAGGUAUAAAAAAGGAAAAAAAGAAAAGCAAAUCAUGAGUAAGUGCACAACCUUUCCCUUUCCCUGUAACCACAAUUAGUAUUUAACAGUAGUAAACCAUAAGUCAUAGAUAGAGGAUGGUAAGGCAAAACAGUAACUACACUUUAUGGACAAUAGAAAGGUCAUUCUACCAUUCCCGUGACAUGGACAAUAAAGACUAAUUUUCUCUCCUAUAAAUUGAGUAGCUAAUCAUGUCUUAAAAACAAAAUACAAUAAUAUUUGUUUAUCUUGAAAAAAUAAUUGUGAUUGAAGUUAGGAGGAAAUCAAAAUACUCUAAGGUGUAGUUAGUAGUGUUGCAAACAUUAAAACAGCUAUAUCCAGUUUAAACCUCAGCAGUGAACAGUAAGGUUGAGUCAUGGGGAGUAGAUUGGUGACUUGAUGUUAGAAUGUUCCACCCGAGUCAUGUUUUACAUAUUAUCUGAUGAAUAAACUUGUACAGCAGGUAUGUCCAAAAUUAAAUUAAGAUAACAGCCUUGAUCGAUUAUGUGAAAACUGUGGGGGAAAAAAGCUAUAGUCUAAUAUGUAUAUGGAAUUAUAUUGGUGCAGGCUCCUGAUUUUGCCAUAUACCUACAGUAGCAACACCCUUAAACUGUGACUAUGUUCAUGAUGUAACAUGACCUCAUGUGCCAUGAUGCUCAGGGAGAUUAACAGACACUAAACCAUGUGAAUAAGGCUGGGAUUCAAUCAUUGCAGAUUUUCUGCUACUUCUCUCUGGUUGUUUAUGCUGUAUCACAACCCUGUGGACUCAAAUAAUGACAUUUUAUUGACAUUGUCAUUGGAUAUUGAUAUAGUAUGAAGCCACUCCGGUCCUAACUUUCCUUGGGUGAAUACUAACUGUAGUUGCCAAUAUGAAUUGUUUGCUAUUUUGUGGACUUGUCCAUGAUGCAUUAUCCACAAUGAUUGAAUUCUGCCUAAAUGAGCUUUGUUGAUAUACUUACAGUAUAUCCAUAUUUUUGGCACAAGAGGGCAGUGUCUUGCUUUAGAAAGAGCGAUAGAGAGAGACAGAGACAGGGGUUAAGGUAGAUAUCAGGCAUGUCAACAUAGAUUUUAUGGCAAAAUAUUACACUUUUGAUUGAUAUGAAUAUCAAUGAAGAAUAAAGUCACACACUCCAUCGUACUCUAUUGUAGGCCUACUCAAUGUUUGUUUGAAAAUAGUGCCUUAUCAAUUGUUUUUCUUUUGCAUGAUCAAUAUCCCACCCUUCAUCUCCCUAAGGCCUACUUUUAUUGGCUUUUAAAUAUAUAUAUUUUAUUGUAUUGUGUUUACUUAUUUUGAUGGAAUGUGCAUCUUGUCAAAUGUGUCUUCAGUUCCGAUACGUCUAAUAAAUAUUCCAGUAUCUAAGUAUCAUUAAAUUGCAUGAACACUACAUUUGCACUCAUCUUUAUAAUUGAAUUAUAUGAAUUUGACUUCACUGAAAGUUGAAUGGUUCUGUGUAAUACAGUGUGAAAGGGGAACUGAGAGGGAACACCCUGUAUGAAGGACCUGAUUUGAUGUACAUAGAGUGGGUUCCCCCUCUAACAUUGGGGAAGACCCCCCUCCCACACUCUACACCAUACGCUGUUCUCUAUCCCUACACAGCAUGGUACAGGUUGAAUCACACACCCUUUCAUAUGGUAUAUCUUAAGAUACUACUGUAUAGUGCAUAGCAGUGAGCUACUGGCUCAGUAGCUAAGUGCUCGAUUCAAUCCAUAGAGCUGAAGACCUUUGCUACAUCGCAAUAUACAUUUAAAAGCAAUGUUCCCGCGUUUGUGGAGACUAAACACUGCAUAUGUUAGCUCAAUUGGACAUAAAAAAAAAAAACGUUUAAAAAUGUAACCAGGCAAGUCAGUUAAGAACAAAUUCUUAUUUACAAUGACUGCCUACCCCGGCCAAACCCGGGCGACGCUGGGCCAAUUGCGCACCGCCCUAUGGGACUCCCAAUCACGGCCAAAAGUGGUGCAGCCUGGAUUCAAACCAGGUAGUGCAGUGACACCUCUUGCACUGAGAUGCAGUGUCUUAGACCACUGCGCCACUCGGGAGCCCCAUUACCUGAUCUCCAGUACUACGGAUUGAAUCGAGCCCAAGAACCUUGAACUAAACAGAAACACUAACUUAGAAAUUACCCAGAACUACUCAGGACUAGCCAAAACUUUUAUAUUCCCUUUGUUUUUUACUUUUAUACCAUGAAUUAUGUGCACUGUAUCUACUGUAUGUAUAGGUUAUGCAAGUAUAAAGAUGUAUAUUCAUGUGUACCUUUGACGCUGUAAUAAUCUGAACUAAAUCAAUUUCCUAACAGCUUCGGUUGGUACGGCAAUAAAGUCUUGAAUCUUGAAUGUUCCCUUCCUUCCUUGGAAAGUUAAUCAUGGCAGAGAUGUUGCAAUACAUGAUAAGCAUCUGUAG